Molecule: long non-coding RNA, 4283 nt
Filed under: Sus scrofa (pig)
Lineage: Eukaryota; Metazoa; Chordata; Mammalia; Artiodactyla; Suidae
Description: lncRNA (ENSSSCG00005004033.1)
Source: RNAcentral
AUGUUCUGGCUUAAAUAAAAUGCAUUAUUAAAACUGUCGAAUAUUUUCCUUUUUAAAUUGGAUUACUAGAAAAUUAAAUUAGAUAUAUGGCUCACGUUUGUGGCUUGUGUUACAGGUCUAAUGGACAGCACUGGCUCAGAGAACUACGGUCCUGAAAUUUCAAUUAUAAACCUACAAAAGCUUGAAAACAAAGGAUUUGGUGGAGAAAAUGAGUUCCUAACACCCUCAGAGGUAUGCAAAUAUGAUUUAUCCUGGGAAAGAGAGCAAUAUAUAUGGCAAUUUCUUUAAAAGUAAAACAAGAAGCCUUCUUAAGCAAUGGAAAACUAGUCUCAUCAAAUCCAGGUAAGAGUUUGGUGCAGAAGAGAGAAAUGAAAAUAGUUUAGUGAACUUUAGCAGAGGAAACAGAAAGGAACAAAUGAGUAUGAGGGCCUCGACCUUGGAUAAGAUUCUGCAGUGUUGCUCACUAGCCACAUAACCCAGGGUGAGAGCGUGUAAACUCCCUGCACCUCCACGUCCUCUCUCAGAACAGAAAUGACAGUAUACUUCUCCCUCAGGGUUAUUAGCUAACAUUUAUUAAGUACUUAUGUGGAUCUUUGUAGAUGCUAUUGUCAUCCCAACAGUGCAGAUUAAGGAGACAGACACACAAAAAGGCUAAGUGAUAUGCCUGUGGCCACACAGCUGAGAGGUGGUGGCAGUGAAAUCUCACCCGUCUUAGUCUGAACCCCCUUCUCAUGGGAGCAUUUAAUCACUGCUCUAUACUAAGAUCAGACGUUCACUGAUGAUGAUAGUGAACUUAGAGCACGUUAUCAAGAUCCUCGAGGAAGGGAACAUGUUUUUACUGUUGUUGUAAGAGCAGGACAGAGCACUGAAAGGAUAUCGAAUUUAAAAUUACACGGUGCUCCAUUAGGUCAAAAGAGAGAGCCCAAAAGAUGAGAAGGAAACCAUGAAGACUUUAGAAACUUGGCUGUAUGAGCAAUGUCCUUGAGUCUGAAAAAAAAUGAGAGUUCAGGGAAAAUAUCAUCAAAAGUUAUCCUACGAAAGAUGAAGCCAAAAGAAUUCUGGCCUCACAGAUAAAAAGAUUUAAAAUCUGCUUCUACCUGCUCAAUAUAAUGAGUGACAGAGGUCUCCCCAGUUCUUCCCAAACUGCUCUGCAUCCUUAGGCUCACCUCUGUAGACCCAGCUCUGUAGACUUGACCCAGAUCAAGUCACAGUAUCUUUAUUUAAGGUUAACCAUAAAAUUUCAUAGACAGAACUAUUUACAUAAAGAGUUGUUGCUUUGUUAUGUCUUGUUUUUGUGAGGCCCAUCAGGGCACUGCGUAGGAGGCAGAGAGGGAGCCAAAUGCAGUGCAAGGUGAGGGCCUACUCCUAGUGGGGGUAAGCCGCUUCCAGGAAUGGCCCCUAGGAGUUUCCCAAGGGUGUAACUGGGUCCAGCCGCUGGAUGACCUCGAUUCUAAACACCCGCCCCACACAAUGUCACGUCACCGCAUAACAGCUAGGUCUCAGUAACUAGCCAAGCUGGUUCCUCAGCAAGAGCCACGAUUAUUCUCGACAAACUUUUUCUUGUUCAAUUUGACAUGAAAAUUAAAGUUGUAUUAGCACAAUUUCUCACAUUCAAGAGCAUGUGAAUGGCAUUCUCAGUGCUCUCCUAUGGCACGCCCAGCUGAGCCCAGCUUUUCUUACUUGCUUUGUUUUCAUGAGUAAUUUCAAUGAGUCAGGGGGCAGGUUUUGGAGGCUCUUUGCCAGAGCUGAAAACUAAGUUUUGCGUUUCCCAAAAGCCCACCAUUAAUUUGGUUUUCAUUGUCCAAAGGAAAAUCUGAAGCCAAGGAGCUGGGCUUCUCUGGGUCAAGCAGCGUGACUGGAACUUCUUUUUGAACUUUUUAAACAGAUCAGCUGUUCUUCCAGAUCCCUCCUGUGGGAAGGCAAUUUUCCAUUUGAACCUUCUUAAUCUACAAAAGAGGAAGCAAAUCCAGACAAAGGAAGGGAGUUCCCUCGUGUCCACAGUGAGUGAUUAACAAAUUAGGGAUGAAGAAGAGGAUGGAUCAAGGGGAAUGUAGAUGAAAGUGCUCCAAAACUAUGAGAGCAAAUAAAGAAACACAAAACACAGAGGCCCUGUGGACUCUGAACCAGACGUUGCCCGGCUGGUGUGUGUUUGCAAUUGCAUUUGUUUUUCAGUGCUUGCUUGGAGUGACAAAUCUGAUGCCUCUUCAUGUCCUCUUCACAUCCAGGGUAGAUGAUUCUUUUAUCUCUCGGAAGCCUGGGUCCUGAUUCACACGCAUCAGAGCAGCUGCAGUGUGACUCUCUUCUCCACCUUUGCUACACACUGUGCAGGCCACAGUGCUGCAUGACCGAAAGCGGAGAGUGCCCACCGAUGGGCAAAGACUGGGUUUACAUUUCUUCCAACACUUCCUAAAAAUGCACUGUAAACCCUGGGUGCCAAAUAAGUGUUCCCAGGUGACACUCUCGGUGCCCAUCCCUUCAACCAUGCCAGGGAUGGACAGGGACCAGAAUAUCAAGAGAGAACAUGGAUCGUGGAAACACAACUUCUUUUGUGCCUCAACAUCUUUUUAAAAAUACUUAAGUUGUAUGAACACAUGACAGAAAACACAGUGUUUGGUGUCAUCUUUAAGUCAUCUUGGGUGGGGAAAAUGUCAAGAAUCUAGCACUUUGGAUGCAUUAGAAGAGUGAUGGGAAGAGCUUCCCUGUUCUUUCAGGUCCUGAGUUCAAAUCCUUUGCAACUGUCUGAUCAACGUGACCUUGUGGCUUCUACUGUUGGGGUGUAUUGGGAAGAUGAAACGAGAUGAUCUCUGGAAGUCUCGGGAAGUCCUUUGCAAAAUACCCAUUCCUUUUCCUCAAGGACAAUCAGUAGCAACCUAUCCCUGGAAGCCUCUUAAGCCUGUCCCUACAGCAGAGCCGUGAGGAACAAGACUCUCUUUGUUCAAAUCCCUGAUUGUCCACCAACCAGCUGCCUAACACGGGGGAAAGUUGUUGAACUACUCUGAGUCUUGCUUUCUAUGUUUUAUAAAUGGGGAUAAUUACAGCUUCCACCUCAUUAAGGUUGUAGUGAGGAUGGAUUGAGAUAAUUUAUGGAAAGUGCUGAGCACUCUGUGUGCAUAUAGUAAAUGCUCAGUACACAUCAGCCAUUAUAAUAAUGCUGCCCCUAGUGCCAGCUGCAGCAUCGCUGCCCCAAAACCCUCCCUGCCAGUUUCCCUGUUUAGAAUCUCUGCCCCUUUCUUUCAGUUAUUCUCAUUGCUGGUCCAGGAAUCAUUUAAUAAAGCAUUGGACACAUCACCCCCCUCUGCUCUAAACUCUAGCGUUUGUGUCUGCAUGGAUCCUUCUUAAGAAUGCUGAGAUGUGAUGGUCCGAAGGCACCAUGCCAAGUGAUUUGUGGAAGAGGAUUUGAGAGCCAGACCAUUUUAGGUCUGGAAAGGGCCCAAAAGGCCACUUUACAGAUGAGGAAACUGAGGUUAAUUGGCUUGCCCAAGGCCACACAGCUAUUUAUCAGAACUCCAGGGUUUUACUAGGCUGGUCUGCCUAGAAGGAGGGAACCACGGGGCAAGCCUAUUAGGGAAAAUUGGUCAGCAGUUGGCUGCAAACUUGCUGACAGGUAAUCUUUCUCCAUUCAUGAGAAAUGAGACGGAAGUCAGGCACCCAAUAGAAAAGAACGCAAGGCGGGCCUCUCUGUAAGUGAAAACUGGGUCCCUCUCUGGCUUCAGGGCAGGGCACAGCAGGAACCCUCACUUUAAAGAUGCGUCCUCUCAGGCCACAUUAGUCUCCUGACUAAUGCUCCCAAACGCACUGUGGAGAUUUGCUGAAGCUGAAGCUUCUCUGCAAGGUUUGCAGGAGGAAUGGCGAUGAAUAAAACACCAAUACAUUACUCCAAAGGCGAGCAGGCCCAGUUCUAACUGCCAAAUUACAAUUCUUACUCUAAGAUAUUAAUACUAACAGUGACACUACAUUUGUAGAGUGCUUUUUAGGUUCCCAAUAAUAAUAAUAAUGAAAACUACAUCUUAUACUAAAGCAGUGUCUAUGUAUGAAGUACAUACCGGAGUGAGGCACUUCAAGAGCAAGCUCCCUUCGCAACUGGGAUAUUUUAGGGAAAAGUCUUGUGAAUUUUAAUUGUUUGCAUAAAGGACCCUUGAUUUUCAAUUUGGACUUGGAACUUAAAUACAGUUUUGCCGCUUUGUCAGUGAAAUAUUUUGUAAAACCUUUAACUAUGUUGUUAAAUAUUUAAAACCUUUAAAUAUGCAUGCUUUAAUAAGUUAGACAAUGGAAAAAUGGUAACU